This 225-nucleotide microRNA precursor is filed under the name Solanum tuberosum (potato). RNAcentral's name for it is "MIR8007 microRNA precursor family". It matches the Rfam family "MIR8007 microRNA precursor family". Lineage: Eukaryota; Viridiplantae; Streptophyta; Magnoliopsida; Solanales; Solanaceae. The record is from Rfam by way of RNAcentral.
AUGUGGCACUUUUCGGAUUUCGAGAUUCAAACAAGUCUAUUUUUGACCGUAAGUUUUUCAUACAUCUUUUAAACAUUCUGAAUUAUCAAUUAUUGUGACUUAUAGUACUUUUUAUGUAGUUUACAAAUAUAUAAAUUUCAUUUCAAAAAAAUUAAAGAUUCCAUGCGCAAAUUGCUGGUCAAACUUAAAUUGUUUGACUUUUGAAAAACGAAAAGUGUCACGUAA